ACUGAAUAGGUUCUCCACCUCUUCUGAUUAGCUUGGGUAACCAUGAUAUGCUGCUAGGUGUCAUUCAUGGUUUGUGGAAGCCCUAAACGUGUGUAAUCACUAAAGGGAGAAUUGAAAGUAAGUUUCAAUUCACAAUCGAUGUAAAAUGGUUUUAAUCGCCCACUGCCUCGCUAAAAGGAAUCUAAUGGAUCGUACACCGUGUAAGGUGGAGAUUGAAGAAACAAUGGAGAUGAGUAAGAAUAAUUAAAUGGUUUAAUUAUUUAUGGCAAGGAUGAAUUAAUAUGUUAAUUAAUCAAACGAAUAAGUUCGUUAAAGACCUCGGGAUAGUUUUGGGCCUCAAGGCCCAAUGGGCUUCGAACGUCAAGUCCAUUGACUUAAGUUGUAUGACAACUUAAUUCACAAAGGCCCAAAAGCCCAAACAAAACCCCAUGGCCGGCCAUUUAGAGGAAGGGUAGUGAACUUGCUUUAAUUACAAGUUUGCCACUCAAAUGAAUAAAGGUAUAAAUAUGACUUUAUAGCCAAAAUUCAUUAGGGUUUCUUUUGGAGAAAAUUGGUGAGAACUUGUCUCUCCUUUUCUCUCUAAAGAGGCCGGCCCCUUGGAGGGGGUAUCUAGCCAUACUACUACUCCAAGGUCACUCAUUUCUUCUCCAAUCUAACCUUGGUGAAGAUACUUAGAGGUUCUCAAUUUUGGGAACUUAGAGAAACCUUUUCAUCCAUCCAAAUCCAUAGAUUUUAGAUGCAAGGAAUGAAGGCCCUCUCUAUGGGUGAUUAGCCUUUGCUUAUGCAAAGAGGAAUCUACAAAGGUAUGAUUUCCACUCACUUUGUUUUGAGUUGAGUUUUGGUUCACCAAUCUACUAGGCUUUGAAUUUCAUGGGUAAUGUUUUGUUUUUGAAUGCAUGCUAGCAUGAUUCCGCCUUUAAUUUGUUAAAUGCAUGCUAUAGAUGUUAUUCAAAUGAACAUGUUUUCACAAAAUAAUCCU
This 979-nucleotide long non-coding RNA is filed under the name Malus domestica (apple). RNAcentral describes it as "long non-coding RNA (MDOM_LNC012322)". The record is from RNAcentral. Lineage: Eukaryota; Viridiplantae; Streptophyta; Magnoliopsida; Rosales; Rosaceae.